CUGCAGCUGAGGUGGCAGGAUUAGAGUCUCCCACUCCUUCCCUAGGCUUCCUGAUUCACUCCUGAGCGGACACGUGGUCAUGGGCUCACAUGGUCAGAGGUGCUUUCUCCUCCGGGUUCUGUCUCCUUCAUCCUCUCUUCUUUUCGUCUUCUGGGCUACACUAGGUUCCUUACUGAGAGGAAAGACCUACUAGCCAGCCAGGUUCCUCAGGUGAUCCUGACACGGAGGGUUUCUGGUCCCUGAUACACUGUUCUGAGAACUGGAAGCAAUACAAAAUGGAAUUCCAAAAGCUGGGGACAUCUGCCUGCCUCCCAAGCUCCCUGGGACUGUUGACAAGAGCACUCACAAUGGUUAAACUGCCACAGCUGACUGAAGCCCGUGAGGACAGUCCAACACGUCAGCCUUAGGACUCAGAAGGACAGGUGGCUCAAACAGGUUUUCAGGAGUCUCCCUCCUGCCCGAGAGGAGCCCGGAAGUUCAGCAGAAGGAGGAGGGACUCUCGCUUUCUUUCUGUUUGCCUUUUACUGACUGCAGUGAAAGGCCUAGCCUAUGUCCAGUGCCCCAGGUCUUGGUGAAUAAGGUGUGGGCACCUACAAAAGCUAAUCCCUGUUCGUUGUCUCUAGCCACAACUCAAGGGUUCUGCAGCUUGUCUUUGGAAAUGAGUCAACCAACAGUUGGGGAGAAAAACUGUACCUCUAAAUCACUAAUGACACACCUUCAAGGCUUGUCCUUUCAUUUACCAAACCUGGAGUUUAACAACUCGAGACCACACUUCCUUGCCUGGUAAGCCUGUGUUUCACUGAGCUCAUAAAACUGAAGAAAAGGUCAGCAGGCUCGCUGCUCCCUCAAGGAGUCUCUGGCCCCUGCUUUGGCCUACCCUCAUUUCCUUCUGCUUCCCUGAAGGACUAUUUGAACACAUUAAGGAAGAGUCUCAUGGGCUGAGGAGGCAGCUCAACUGGUAAAGUGUUGCUGGUCUUCUAAGCAGAAGAUCUUGAGUUCAGGUCCCCAGCACUGAUGUCAUGUUCCUGAACAUGUAACCCAUUGCUAGGGAGGCAGAGACAGAAGGAUCCCCGAGGCUUGCUGUCAGCCAGGCUAGCUGAAUUGAGUGGGGUGUACUGAAAGGAAAUCUUGUCUCAAAAAAAU
RNAcentral lists this long non-coding RNA (1143 nucleotides) under Mus spicilegus (steppe mouse). RNAcentral's name for it is "lncRNA (ENSMSIG00000030287.1)". The record is from RNAcentral. Lineage: Eukaryota; Metazoa; Chordata; Mammalia; Rodentia; Muridae.